Molecule: long non-coding RNA, 607 nt
Organism: Populus euphratica (Euphrates poplar)
Lineage: Eukaryota; Viridiplantae; Streptophyta; Magnoliopsida; Malpighiales; Salicaceae
Exons: 2
Source: RefSeq, a predicted model, not a curated record
AUCACGCGGCCCUUUCACAAGGAACUCCAGCUUAGCUACCAGUUCAUCAAUUGCACAAUAUUGCAAUAUGUGAGGCUGACUCGAAAGGUCCUUUGUACUACCAUAAUUGUAGUUGCAAUUAUGUAUUCUAGAAUAUUGUGCUCUUGAUAUCCUUGUAAAACCUGUGCUCAUGGAUGAUGCUGGUGUUUUGUACUUUGCAAUUGGCUCUGGUGUUUGGUUCUUUGGGUUUCAAGUGAUCUAGCCUUCGGAUGGUGGUUUGGAGCCGCCUGACUUCCAUAACCAUGGCCUUCAACUCUCUCAGCUGUGCUAGCUCAGCAGGUCUUCAUGACAUUCUCAAUUGAGCUGUCCAUGCUUCGCCAACGAUUUAGGUGAUCAAGUUAUUAUUCAAUGGUUCGGUUCUCUCCCACCUGUAAGAAAAAAAAAAAGCUCUUUAUGAUUUUAUCACGCAGUUACAUCAGUUUUGAAUUGUUUCAUAACUCUGCGUAAUUUGUUGCGUUAAUGUUUAAUUGUUUACCGUUUGCCGGAGGAGAUGAAUUUCAUAUUGUUAAUACAUGGUUGCAGAAGAUUUCUUUUUUUCUCAUGUGUAUGGCAUCUUGAUAUUUGGAGU